Molecule: long non-coding RNA, 415 nt
Organism: Rosa rugosa (rugosa rose)
Lineage: Eukaryota; Viridiplantae; Streptophyta; Magnoliopsida; Rosales; Rosaceae
Exons: 2
Source: RefSeq, a predicted model, not a curated record
UAGUUUUACAGUCAGGUAUCAUAAAGUUCAUGAAGCAAGAUUAAAUCCUUCACUUCAGCACUCUAAAUGAUUACAUGUCUGAAAGGUGAUCUGGGAGAUCCAGGCUUGCCAAAAUACACUUCUUUGUUUAAUUGCAUUGCUGGCAUAUGCCUCAUGUUUACUGGGAACUCGUUUUUUCUGUGGGCUAAAAGGAAAGGAAGGUUCCCUCGACUGUUUAUGACUUUGCAAAGGAAUUUGAUGCAGAGAGGCAUAUUCAUAGUUAGACGAAUGUUGGAAGGAAUGAAAUCAUUACAUGAAUGUUGUAUUAUAUAUCCAGCAGGGAUUCCAUUAUAAAAGGCUUUAGUUAAUGUUAAUUUUGAGUACUGGUCUUGUUCUGGUGGUUUGAUGAAAUGAAACUAUGUUUAUCUUAUUGGUC